This 468-nucleotide ribosomal RNA is filed under the name uncultured bacterium. Its description in RNAcentral is "partial 16S ribosomal RNA". It matches the Rfam family "Bacterial small subunit ribosomal RNA", at positions 28 to 507 of the family's 1533-position model. The record is from RNAcentral.
GACGAACGCUGGCGGCGUGCUUAACACAUGCAAGUCGAGCGGACAGGCCCUGCUUUUGUGCGUUUCUCGAGUGGCGAACGGGUGAGUAACACGUGAGUAACCUCCCCUUGACUUUGUGAUAACUUCAGGAAACUGGGGCUAAUACCGGAUAGGAGCUCCUGCUGCAUAGUGUUGGUUGGAAAGUUUCGGCGGUUCGGGAUGGACUCGCGGCUUAUCAGCUUGUUGGUGGGGUAGUGGCUUACCAAGGCUUUGACGGCUAGCCGGCCUGAGAGGGUGACCGGGCACCAUGGGACUGAGAGACGGAGCAGACGCCUACGGGACGCAGCAGUCGGGAAUAUUGCACAAUGGGCGGAAGCCUGAUGCAGAAACGCCGCGUGCGGGAUGACGGCCUUCGGGUUGUAAACAGCUUUCGAAGGUGACGAAGCGUGAGUGACGGUAAUGGGUAAAGAAGCACCGGCUAACUACGUG